CAAUAGCGUAUAUUAAAGUUGUUGCGGUUAAAAAGCUCGUAGUUGGAUUUCUGCCGAGGACGACCGGUCCGCCCUCUGGGUGUGUAUCUGGUUUGGCCUGGGCAUCUUCUUGGAGAACGUAGCUGCACUUGACUGUGUGGUGCGGUGUCCAGGACUUUUACUUUGAGGAAAUUAGAGUGUUCAAAGCAGGCCUCGGCCUCUGAAUACAUUAGCAUGGAAUAAUAAGAUAGGACUUUGGUGGUCUAUUUUGUUGGUUUGCACGCCAAAGUAAUGAUUAAUAGGGAUAGUUGGGGGUAUUCGUAUUCAAUUGUCAGAGGUGAAAUUCUUGGAUUUAUGGAAGACGAACUACUGCGAAAGCAUUUACCAAGGAUGUUUUCAUUAA
Molecule: ribosomal RNA, 382 nt
Filed under: uncultured eukaryote
Lineage: Eukaryota
Description: partial 18S ribosomal RNA
Rfam family: Eukaryotic small subunit ribosomal RNA
Source: RNAcentral